GACGAACGCUGGCGGCGUGCUUAACACAUGCAAGUCGAACGGAAAGGCCCCUUUGGGGGUACUCGAGUGGCGAACGGGUGCGUAACACGUGAGUAACCUGCCCUUGACUUCGGGAUAACUUCAGGAAACUGGGGCUAAUACCGGAUAGGAAUCCUUGCUGCAUGGUGGGGGUUGGAAAGCUUCGGCGGUUUUGGAUGGACUCGCGGCUUAUCAGCUUGUUGGUGGGGUAGUGGCUUACCAAGGCGUUGACGGGUAGCCGGACUGAGAGGGCGACCGGCCACAUUGGGACUGAGGUGCGGCACAGACUCCUACGGGAGGCAGAAGUGGGGAAUAUUGAACAAUGGGCGGAAGCCUGAUGCAGCAGCGCCGCGUGCGGGAUGACGCCCUUCGGGUUGUAAACCGCUUUCAGCAGGGGAGAAGCUUGUGGUGACGGUACCUGCAGAAGAAGCACCGGCUAACUACGUG
Molecule: ribosomal RNA, 465 nt
Filed under: uncultured bacterium
Lineage: Bacteria
Description: partial 16S ribosomal RNA
Rfam family: Bacterial small subunit ribosomal RNA
Source: RNAcentral